This is an RNA transcript of Dunckerocampus dactyliophorus (ringed pipefish), 6064 nucleotides long. It is a transcript of the gene named mediator complex subunit 27, with no coding region annotated. The record is from RefSeq and is a predicted model, not a curated record. The transcript is spliced from 2 exons. Lineage: Eukaryota; Metazoa; Chordata; Actinopteri; Syngnathiformes; Syngnathidae.
GCUGCUCUAUAAAUGAAUACAAGUCACUGUACUUACUUUCAUAAAGCACCUUUCUACAAAGAAAUGUAAAUUAACCAAAACCAUUCACAAUCACAUUGCUUUUGGUGCCUCACUGUUUCCUAAGUAUAUUAGUGCGUGUGUGAAUGUAUAAAUGAGAGGAAUUAACUGCGAUUUCUUUGUAGAAAGGUGCUUUAUGAAAGUAAGUACAUUGACUUGUAUUAAUUUACAGCGCAGCCUUGACCCAUCCAAUACGGCGGCGACGUUGACGUACAGCCCAUCACUCGAUGCGGCCAGCUUGUUUGCCACACAUACACACACACACACACACACUACUGAUGGAAAUCUUAGGACCAGUUGAAAAAUGUCUAGAAUGAUCAUUUUGCACAUUUGGAUCUUAAUGAGGUUUUAAGUAGAGCUACAAUAUGCAAAAACAAGAAGGGGGGGUGACACAAAAAGCAUUUUGAAAAAGUGAUUUAUUGAAAACAACAAUUAAACUGAAAUAGGCUGUUUAUCAGGGGAUCAAAAGUUUAAGACCACAGGCUAUAAAAGCCCAAAUGUGCUCCAAAUGUUGAUGUCGUGUCAUCAUUCCCACUGUCAUGCCCUCCUGAUGCUAAAGCUAAGAAGCUUUCUCUUUUUCAACGUGGUGGGAUUGUGGAGCUGCAUAAGCAAGGCCUCUCGCAGCGUGCCAUGGCUGCUGAGGUUGGGCGCAGGAAAUCAGUCAUUCUAAGUUUUUAGAAAGAUCCUGAGCAUUUUGGAGGAAAAAAGUCAAGUGGUAGACCCAAAAACAUCACACCUGCGCUGAGUCGGAGGAUCCGAUCGGCUGUCCAUCAAGACACAGGGCGGUCUUCCACCCACAUGAAGGCCUUACUGGUGCCGACUGCAGCAAUAACCAUCAGACGCCAUCUGCUGGAAAAGGCUUCAAAAGCAAAAAGGAAUUCAAAGACCUCGUUUCCUUCAACGCCACAAAAGUGCCCGUUUAGACUUUGCUAGGGAGCAUCAAACAUGGGACAUUGAAAGGUGGAACAAAGUUUUAUUCUCUGAUGAGAACAAAUGUAACCUUGACGGUCCAGAUGGCUUCCAACGUUACUGGCAUGACAAGGAGAUCCCACCUGAGAUGUUUUCUACCUGGCACAGCGGAGGGGGGUCCAUCAUGGUCUGGGGUGCUUUUUCAUUCAGUGGAACACCGGAGCUUCAGGUGGUGCGGGGUCGUCAAACGGAUGCAGAUGUUGGGGCGGGCGUCCCUCAUGACCGAGGGCCCUGGUCUGUGUGGUAACAGCUGGGUUCUUCAACAGGACAACGCUGCAGUUCACAAUGCUGGCUUGACCAAGGACUUCUUCAGGGAGAAUAACAUCUCUCUUUUGGACCAUCCUGAUUUCAAUCCCACAGAGAACAUUUGGGAUGGAUGGCAAGGGAAGUUUCUAAAAAUGGCCAUCAGUUCCAGACAGUUGAUGCCCUUGGUGAAGCCAUCUUCACCACUUGGAGAUGUUCCCACUAGCCUCCUGGAAACACUGGCAUCAAGCAUGCCCAAAGCCAUUUUGGAAGUGAUGAACAAGAACAGUGGAGCUCCUCAUUACUGAGUCCUACUGAGAACAUUUUUGGUUCUUUUUUGAGCGAUGGUCUUAAACGUUUGAUCACGUGAUAAACAGCCUAUUUCAGUUGAAUUUUUGUUUUCAAUCAAUGACUUUUUGUCCCACCCCUGUUCUUGUUUUUGCAUAUUGUAGCUCUACUUAAAACCUCAUUAAGAUCCAAAUGUGCAAAAUGAUCACUCCAGACAUUUUUCAACUGCUCUUAAGAUUUUAUGUGUGUGUGUCUGUGUAUGUAUGUAUAUGUGUGUGUGUGUGUGUGUGUGUGUGCGUGCGUGUGUGUGUGUAUAUGUGUGUGUGUGUAUAUAUAUAUAAUUUAUUUAUUUAUUUAUUUAAUAUACUGUGUAUAUAGAGAUACUGUAUAUAUAUAUAUAUAUAUAUAUAUAUAUAUAUAUAUAUAUAUAUAUACAGACACUUUCCAAAAAUUUUGAAUAUAAUGUAAAAGUUGUUUAAUUUCCAUAAUUCCAUUCAAAAAGUUAAACUUUCAUAGAUUAUAGAUUCAGGGCCCACAAUUUAAAACGAUUUAAAGUACAGUCAAACCUGUCUUAGCGGCCACCUUUAUAGAACGGCCACCUGCCUAUAGCAGCCAUUUAAAAAUCCCCCCCAGCAAAUGUACAUGUUAUAGACCCUGUGUAUAGCAGUCACCUGUCCAACGCGGCCAGCGGCCACCCAUUUUGUCUCCCUUGGUCAAUAUCUGACCGCAUAUAGCGGCCAAAUUACCAACUCAAGUAGAAGCUUCAUGCACGAAAAAGUUUUGUUUUUCAAUCAAUGAAGCCGUCGUGUGUAGACUUUAAUUACUGAGUCCUAGCUCAGUCACAAUCAUUCACAUGAUCCACACAAACUGUCAGUUGUUCCACAUAAAAAAGCCGUCUUCUUUUGAGCUUGCUAUUUCCUGGUCAAACAUGUAACUUUAAGAGCAUUUGCACCAAAACAUUACCGCAAAGUAUGCUGGGAACAGGACGUGCUCCCAGCGAUGCUACAAUACAAUACAAUACUGCCUGCGGGCUAAAACCAUGCUAGCAUAUGUUUUUAAAAAGCAGCGGGAGCAAAACUGAGUUUGGUUGUACUUAAUUGAAGUAUUUUAGAAUGUACUCACGUUAUUUGUCAUCAAUCCUCAUCCACAAAUCCAUCAAAGUCCUCAUCUUCUGUAUUCGACACAAACAAAGCCGUCUUCUUUUCCGUUCACUACUAGUCUGUUAACUUGUCAGUGUUAUUCAACUCCGAAGCUAAGAAGGAAACUUCUCCUGUUGCUUCUGCAAACGUUAUUUCUUGAACGAGGCCACCAGACAGCAGCUCAGAACACACACACAUCUCUCAGCAUCGUCUCUCCUUCCUGCUUGCCCACAAGGCAAAGGUUAAACAAGCCCCACUACAUAGCUGUCCAGCCAAUGCCUGUAAGAAAUGACACUGUUUAUUUCCUGGUGUGCACUGGUCAAUACUGUAAUGCCGCUUGUUGUGGGGAAGGAGAGACUCACGUCGCCGAUGCACUUUAAUGGCUUUAUUAACAACGGAGAACACUGCAGGACUUUACAUCCACGCCAACAUAAACACACUUCCCAACUCUCUCCAAACUCACAGCUAGCACUGAGCCUAGCUCUCCUGCUCGGGACGCCCACCGUCACUUCCUGAUGAACUAAAGCUGUAAUGACACUCUGCCGUAUAAAAAGUAAAAUAUUAAAAACAAGCGUAAGACAUUACUAGCACAGCUUUGUUCUGUGGGUGGUGGAUAUAUUCUAUCAGUUAUUAUUAAGCCUCUAGCUUCCUUUUAGUAAGUAAAAACCUUGGCUAUGAUUGCACUACAUGGUCAUGUAGACCUACAAAGUACACUUGGAAGAACAAGAGGUGAAUAAAUGUAUUGCAACUGAUGUGAAACUGAUGAGGAGUAGGAUUAAAUAAGCUUUGCUUCUUCCUACUCCUUUUUGGACAUGCAAAAUUGUGAAUUGUACUAUGUGAUGUGCUACUGUUUGACUCAUGCAUGUUUAGAAUGAAUUAAAACCAUGAACCAUGAUAAUAACAAGCCUAGUAGUGCUGUACAACUUUUAUCCGCAGUCCACAGUGCCCUCUACUGGUCAACAUUAUUAUUCCUUCCCCCGCCCUUUUUUUUUCUUCUUUUUUUUCCCCUCAACUGGUCAACAUUCAAACUGGACGCCAACCUGUCUAUAGAGGCCACUUUUGCAGCCUCCCUCUAGUGGCCGCUAUAGACAAGUUUGACUGUAUUUAUUUGUUUAUUUUUACAUAAUUUGGGCUUCCAGUUCAUUAAACCCACGAAAACAGGAAUUCAAAAAAUUAGAAUACUGUGAAGAAAUCAGCCCAAAUUUUGCAGGGCAUGAAUGUUUUAAAGUGAGUGUCACACACUAAUCAUCUACUAAAGUCAAAUCACCUGCACAGGCUUCCCCAGGUGUCAUUAAAUUGCUUCAGUUUGGUUCAAUUGUCUCAUUUCGGUUCAAUAUGGGGAAGACUGCAGACAUGACAACUGGCCAGAAGACCAUCAUUGAUACCCUCCAUAGGAUGGGUAAGCCACAAAAGUUCCUAGCUAAGGAGGCUGGUUGUUCACAGAGUGCUGUGUCCAAGCAUAUCAAUGGAAAGUCUAGAGGAAGGGCAAAAUGUGGCAGGAGAAGAUGCACCAGCAAAAGAGAUGACCGUGGGCUUCAGCGGAUUAUCAAACAGGGAAGAUUCAAGAAUCUGGCAGAGAUCCAGAAAGAGUGGAAUGAGGCGGGAGUCACAGCUUCAAAAACCACCACAUUCAGACGCAUCCGGGAGAUGGGCUACAACUGUGGGGUUCCUCGGGUCAAGCCACUUCUGAACCUGAGCCAACGUAGGAAGCGUCUCCACUGGGCCAAGGAGAAGAAGGACUGGACUGUUGGCCAGUGGUCCAAGGUCCUCUUUUCCCAUGAAAGUAAAGUGUGCCUUUCAUUUGGGAAUCAAGGUCCAAGGGUUUGGAGGAAGACGGGUGAGGAACAGAACCCAAGCUGCCUGAGGUCCAGUGUGAAAUAUCCACAGUCCGUCAUGAUUUGGGGUGCAAUGUCCGGUGCAGGUGUUGGUAAACUCUGCUUUCUUAAAUCCAAGGUCACCGCAACAGUCUACCAGAAUGUUUUAGAGGACUUCAUGAUUCCUUCUGCUGAGGAUCUGUAUGGAGAUGCAGAUUUCAUCUUCCAGCAGGACCUGGCCCCUGCCCAUACCGCCAGAAGCACCAAAACCUGGUUUGAUGCCCAUGCCAUCACAGUGCUUGACUGGCCAGCCAACUCACCAGACCUAAACCCCAUUGAGAAUCUAUGGGGUAUUCUCAAGAGGAAAAUGAGGGGCACCAGACCCAACAACAAAGAAGAGCUGGCAGCAAGCAUCAAGGAAAUCUGGGCUUCCAUAACUCCCAGGCAAUGCCACAGGCUGAUUGCUUCAAUGCCACGUGGCAUCGAGGCAGUGAUUAAGGCAAAGGGAUUCCCAACCAAGUAUUGAAGAUUGACAUAUCGUUUUGAAAGUACCAUAUUUUGAUUGAUUUGAUGUGAUCCUAAUUUCUUUCUUUUUUUUCCUGCAAAAACAGAGAAGUAAAUGGUGAUUUCUUCACAGUAUUCUAAUUUUUUGAAUUCCUGUUUUCGUGGGUUUUAUGAGCUGGAAGCCCAAAUUAUGUAGCCAAUUACGGGACCCAAGUGGAAGAGUGAGCUUACAGGGAGAAGAGAUCAAGAAGGUGGAGGAUUUGAAGUACUUAGGGUCAACAGUCCAGAGCAAUGGAGAGUGUGGAAAAGAGGUGAAGAAGCGUGUACAGGCAGGAUGGUACGGGUGGAGAAAAGUGUCAGGUGUGAUGUGUGAUAGAAGAGUUUCAGCUAAAAUGAAAGGAAAGGUGUACAAAACUGUGGUGUUGUUUGGUCUAGAGACAGUGUCCAUGAGGAAAAGACAGGAGACAGAGCUGGAGGUAGCAGAGAUGAAGAUGCUGAGGUUCUCUCUGGGAGUGACCAGGAAGGAUAGGAUCAGGAAUGAGUACAUCAGAGGGACAGCACAUGUUAGAGGUUUUGGAGAUAAAGUCAUAGAGGCCAGACUGACAUGGUUUGGACAUGUCCAGAGGAGAGAUAGGGAAUAUAUAGGUAGAUGGAUGCUGAGUUUGGAACUGCCAGGCAGGAGGCCUAGAGGAAGACCAAAGAGGAGGUUUAUGGAUGUAGUGAAAGAGGGCAUGAAGGUAGUUGGUGUGAGAGAAGAGGAUGCAGAAGACAGGGUUAGAUGGAGGCAAUUGAUUCGCUGUGGCGACCCCUGAAGGGAAAAGCCCAAAGGAGAAGAAGAAGAAGAUCUAGAUAGAGAGAGAGAAUGUCAAUGUGUGUGUGUGUGUGUGUUGAGGUACGUGGAUGAUGUCAUCUCUCGGAUUGGAAGGAUGUUUCCUGACAUGACCAUUGAACUCUUCCGACCUAAUGGAACAUCUGCAGUGCUGCUGGUGACCCUGGGCAAGGUGCUGAAGGCGAUCGUGGUGAUGCGUUCACUGUUCAUUGACAGAACUU